RNAcentral lists this ribosomal RNA (597 nucleotides) under Streptococcus mutans. RNAcentral's name for it is "bacterial SSU rRNA". It matches the Rfam family "Bacterial small subunit ribosomal RNA", at positions 368 to 957 of the family's 1533-position model. Lineage: Bacteria; Bacillati; Bacillota; Bacilli; Lactobacillales; Streptococcaceae. The record is from RNAcentral.
GCAAUGGACGAAAGUCUGACCGAGCAACGCCGCGUGAGUGAAGAAGGUUUUCGGAUCGUAAAGCUCUGUUGUAAGUCAAGAACGUGUGUGAGAGUGGAAAGUUCACACAGUGACGGUAGCUUACCAGAAAGGGACGGCUAACUACGUGCCAGCAGCCGCGGUAAUACGUAGGUCCCGAGCGUUGUCCGGAUUUAUUGGGCGUAAAGGGAGCGCAGGCGGUCAGGAAAGUCUGGAGUAAAAGGCUAUGGCUCAACCAUAGUGUGCUCUGGAAACUGUCUGACUUGAGUGCAGAAGGGGAGAGUGGAAUUCCAUGUGUAGCGGUGAAAUGCGUAGAUAUGUGGAGGAACACCAGUGGCGAAAGCGGCUCUCUGGUCUGUCACUGACGCUGAGGCUCGAAAGCGUGGGUAGCGAACAGGAUUAGAUACCCUGGUAGUCCACGCCGUAAACGAUGAGUGCUAGGUGUUAGGCCCUUUCCGGGGCUUAGUGCCGGAGCUAACGCAAUAAGCACUCGCCUGGGGAGUACGACCGCAAGGUUGAAACUCAAAGGAAUUGACGGGGGCCCGCACAAGCGGUGGAGCAUGUGGUUUAAUUCGAAGC